This 447-nucleotide ribosomal RNA is filed under the name uncultured bacterium. RNAcentral describes it as "bacterial SSU rRNA". It matches the Rfam family "Bacterial small subunit ribosomal RNA", at positions 329 to 793 of the family's 1533-position model. The record is from RNAcentral.
UCCCAGACUCCUACGGGAGGCAGCAGUAGGGAAUCUUUCACAAUGGGCGAAAGCCUGAUGGAGCAACGCCGCGUGCAGGAUGAAGACCUUCGGGUUGUAAACUGCUUUUAUAAGCGAGAAAUAUGAUGGUAACUUAUGAAUAAGGAUCGGCUAACUACGUGCCAGCAGACGCGGUCAUACGUAGGAUCCGAGCAUUAUCCGGAUUUAUUGGGUUUAAAGGGUGCGCAGGCGGAUUUUUAAGUCAGCGGGCAAAUCGUGGGGCUCAACCCCAGCCAGCCGUUGAAACUGGGGAUCUAGAGUGUGCGAGAGGUAUGCGGAAUGCGUGGUGUAGCGGUGAAAUGCAUAGAUAUCACGCCGAACCCCGAUUGCGAAGGCAGCAUACCGGUGCACAACUGACGCUCAGGCACGAAAGCGUGGGUAUCGAACAGGAUUAGAUACCCCCGUACG